RNAcentral lists this ribosomal RNA (254 nucleotides) under uncultured microorganism. RNAcentral describes it as "partial 16S ribosomal RNA". It matches the Rfam family "Archaeal small subunit ribosomal RNA", at positions 474 to 727 of the family's 1478-position model. The record is from RNAcentral.
CACCGGCGGCUCGAGUGGUGGCCACUUUUAUUGGGUCUAAAGCGUCCGUAGCCGGCUUGGCAAGUCCCCUGGGAAAUCUGGCGGCUUAACCGUCAGGCGUCCAGAGGAUACUGCCAGGCUUGGGACCGGGAGAGGACAAGGGUACUCCAGGGGUAGGGGUGAAAUCUUGUGAUCCCUGAGGGACCACCAGUGGCGAAGGCGUCUCACUAGAACGGGUCCGACGGUCAGGGACGAAAGCUGGGGGCACGAACCGG